Molecule: RNase P RNA, 331 nt
Filed under: bovine gut metagenome
Description: Bacterial RNase P class B
Rfam family: Bacterial RNase P class B
About the family: Ribonuclease P (RNase P) is a ubiquitous endoribonuclease, found in archaea, bacteria and eukarya as well as chloroplasts and mitochondria. Its best characterised activity is the generation of mature 5'-ends of tRNAs by cleaving the 5'-leader elements of precursor-tRNAs. Cellular RNase Ps are ribonucleoproteins.
Source: RNAcentral
UUUGACAAACGCUGCAUUCUUUGUAAUGUAGAGGAAAGUCCAUGCUUGCACAACCUGUGAUGGUUGUAGUGAUUGUGCAUAGGGAAAAAAUAACCUAUGGUAGUCUUUGACUAACGGCGUUUUGAGGACCUAAUGGGUAGUAGAAACAUAAAGUGCCGCAGUGACGAUGCUUUUGGUAACAAAAGAGUGAAACGUGGUAAACCCCGCAAGCAAGAAACCCAAAUUUUGGUAGGGGAGCUUUACAAAAAGGAAUCAAGAACUUUUUUAAGGACCUUUUAUAAGGUAGAUAAAUGUUUGUCGCCUAGAAAUAGGAACAGAACAUGGCUUAUAA